AGUGAACGCUGGCGGUAGGCCUAACACAUGCAAGUCGAACGGCAGCACAGUAAGAGCUUGCUCUUACGGGUGGCGAGUGGCGGACGGGUGAGGAAUACAUCGGAAUCUACUUUUUCGUGGGGGAUAACGUAGGGAAACUUACGCUAAUACCGCAUACGACCUACGGGUGAAAGCAGGGGAUCUUCGGACCUUGCGCGAUUGAAUUAGCCGAUGUCGGAUUAGCUAGUCGGCGGGGUAAAGGCCCACCAAGGCGACGAUCCGUAGCUGGUCUGAGAGGAUGAUCAGCCACACGGGAACUGAGACACGGUCCAGACUCCUACGGGAGGCAGCAGUGGGGAAUAUUGGACAAUGGGCGCAAGCCUGAUCCAGCCAUACCGCGUGGGUGAAGAAGGCCUUCGGGUUGUAAAGCCCUUUUGUUGGGAAAGAAAAGCAGCAGGUUAAUACCCCGCUGUUCUGACGGUACCCAAAGAAUAAGCACCGGCUAACUUCGUG
Molecule: ribosomal RNA, 492 nt
Filed under: uncultured bacterium
Lineage: Bacteria
Description: partial 16S ribosomal RNA
Rfam family: Bacterial small subunit ribosomal RNA
Source: RNAcentral